UGCAUAUCCAAUAAGCGGAGGAAAAGAAACCAACAGGGAUUGCCCCAGUAACGGCGAGUGAAGCGGCAACAGCUCAAAUUUGAAAUCUGGCCCUCGGGUCCGAAUUGUAAUUUGUAGAGGAUACUUUUGGCGAGGUGCCUUCCGAGUUCCCUGGAACGGGACGCCAUAGAGGGUGAGAGCCCCGUCUGGUCGGAUACCAAGCCUCUGUAAAGUUCCUUCGACGAGUCGAGUAGUUUGGGAAUGCUGCUCAAAAUGGGAGGUAUAUGUCUUCUAAAGCUAAAUAUUGGCCAGAGACCGAUAGCGCACAAGUAGAGUGAUCGAAAGAUGAAAAGCACUUUGAAAAGAGGGUUAAAAAGUACGUGAAAUUGUUGAAAGGGAAGCGCCUAUGACCAGACUUGGGCCCGGUGAAUCAUCCAGCGUUCUCGCUGGUGCACUUUGCCGGGCACAGGCCAGCAUCAGUUUGGCGCGGGGGAUAAAGGCUUUGGGAAUGUGGCUCCCUCGGGAGUGUUAUAGCCCAUUGCGUAAUACCCUGCGCCGGACUGAGGUACGCGCAUUGCAAGGAUGCUGGCGUAAUGGUCAUCAGCGACCCGUCUUGAAACCACGGACCA
RNAcentral lists this ribosomal RNA (608 nucleotides) under Hypocreales sp. 2-10. RNAcentral's name for it is "eukaryotic LSU rRNA". It matches the Rfam family "Eukaryotic large subunit ribosomal RNA", at positions 37 to 668 of the family's 3401-position model. Lineage: Eukaryota; Fungi; Ascomycota; Sordariomycetes; Hypocreales. The record is from RNAcentral.